UACGGAGGAUUCAAGCGUUAUCCGGAUUUAUUGGGUUUAAAGGGUGCGUAGGCGGUCGGAUAAGUUAGAGGUGAAAUCCCGAGGCUCAACUUCGGAAUUGCCUCUGAUACUGUUCGGCUAGAGAGUAGUUGCGGUAGGCGGAAUGUAUGGUGUAGCGGUGAAAUGCUUAGAGAUCAUACAGAACACCGAUUGCGAAGGCAGCUUACCAAGCUACUUCUGACGUUGAGGCACGAAAGCGUGGGGAGUAAACAGG
Molecule: ribosomal RNA, 253 nt
Filed under: uncultured bacterium
Lineage: Bacteria
Description: partial 16S ribosomal RNA
Rfam family: Bacterial small subunit ribosomal RNA
Source: RNAcentral